AGAGCAUCAAGGAGCAGGUAUCAGGCACAAUCCGUUAGCCCAAAACACCUUGCUACGCCACACCCACACGGGCACCCAGCAGUGAUAAAUAUUAAGCAAUGAGUAAAAGCCAACUUAAGCUCGACUUAGUUAUGAUUACUAGGGCCGGUAAACCUCGUGCCAGCCACCGCGGUUAUACGAGGGGCCCAAAACAACGGACACCGGCGUAAAUUGUGACUAGAGCACCUACUAUAACAUUGGGAAAUAAACAAAAACUCAACCGUAAAACCUGAGCCAAAAGAAACAUAUUUUCUCAAUUACAAAGAAGCUUGAAUCCACGAAGACUAAGAAACAAACUAGGAUUAGAUACCCUACUAUGCUUAGUUGUAAAUAUGACACCAAAAAACACUAGUGUCCGCCAGAAAAUUACACGCGAAAAGCUUAAAACUCAAAGGACUUGGCGGUGCUCCGUAUUCGCCUUAGAGGAGCCUGUCCUAUAAUCGAUAACCCACGCUUUACCUUACCAUCUUUUGUAAAACAGCCUAUAUACCGCCGUCGCAAACUUACCCCAUGAGGGCAUAACAGUAAGUAAAAUAGUAAUGCACUAACACGUCAGGUCAAGGUGUAGCUAAUAAGAUGGAAGAGAUGGGCUACAUUUUCUAAAACAGAACAUACGGCAAAGAACAUUGAAAUAUGCUCUAAAAGGUGGAUUUAAUAGUAAGAUAGAAAAGAAUACCUAUCUAAAAC
RNAcentral lists this ribosomal RNA (726 nucleotides) under Liolaemus uspallatensis. Its description in RNAcentral is "partial 12S ribosomal RNA". It matches the Rfam family "Bacterial small subunit ribosomal RNA", at positions 284 to 1368 of the family's 1533-position model. The record is from RNAcentral. Lineage: Eukaryota; Metazoa; Chordata; Lepidosauria; Squamata.